CUUGGUCAUUUAGAGGAAGUAAAAGUCGUAACAAGGUUUCCGUAGGUGAACCUGCGGAAGGAUCAUUACCAAGAGAAAUCUUUCAACACUGAAAGAUCUUUUCCUUUGUGCUGGCUUUGACCGUAUGUAAUUUUGGGACUUUAAAAUGGUUCGCAAGGGCCGGUCCCAAAAACAAUAUAUCAUCCUUAUGAAAUUUUUUCUGAACAAUUAAACAAAUGAUUUUAAUAAUCUGUUUAAAACAACUUUCAACAACGGAUCUCUUGGUUCUCGCAUCGAUGAAGAACGCAGCGAAAUGCGAUACGUAAUGCGAAUUGCAGAAUUCAGUGAAUCAUCGAAUCUUUGAACGCACAUUGCACUCCUUGGUAUUCCGAGGAGUAUGCCUGUUUCAGUAUCAUGAGCACUCUCACACCUAACCUUUGGGUUUAUGGCGUGGAAUUGGAAUGCGCCGACUGUCAUGGUUGGCCCUUCUAAAAUGUAGUUCUUGGCUGUCACCUAAUACAGCAGUUUGGCCUAAUAGUUUUGGCAUGCAUUGUCAAAUCUUUGGCUAACAUUUGCUCCAGGAGUCAGUCUUGAUAAUACAGAAAACUCAUUCAAAUUUUGAUCUGAAAUCAGGUAGGGCUACCCGCUGAACUUAAGCAUAUCAAUAAGCGGAGGA
This 655-nucleotide ribosomal RNA is filed under the name uncultured Mortierella. RNAcentral's name for it is "eukaryotic LSU rRNA". The stretch from base 241 to 394 matches the Rfam family "5.8S ribosomal RNA". The record is from RNAcentral. Lineage: Eukaryota; Fungi; Mortierellomycota; Mortierellomycetes; Mortierellales; Mortierellaceae.